CCCCGCGGUUAUUACCGAAUGCUGAUAAGGGAAGCCAAAAAUACACUGAAGGCGGGAAGUCGAUCACGACUCGGGAUCGGUUAUCACAUGCACAUUACUUAAGUAAAUGUGAUUAUUAACGUCGAACAAGCAGGAAGCCGGAAAGCUCUACCGCUCGACUCCAGAUCGAAUUGGAAUUUGAGAAUUGGUUUUGCAGAGAAGAGAAAACUGGAGAACCCGGAGAAAAAAACCUUCACAGCACUCCGAGGAGAGAACCACACGACACCUAAGAGGGGACGCAUUAGGAAAGGAUAUGGGUGACGAAGGGUGGGAAGAGAAGGAGAAGGAAGAUUCAAUAUUGCCUUACUUUGGAGAUUAAAAGUGGUGUUCAGCGUUUCCUUUCCGUUUUCAAAUAAUAAUCUAUAAAUCAUUGUAGAUGCCCUACUGUGUAUUUAUCGUUAAUAAAACUGAAAGUUUAAAUGUC
Molecule: long non-coding RNA, 463 nt
Organism: Actinia tenebrosa (Australian red waratah sea anemone)
Lineage: Eukaryota; Metazoa; Cnidaria; Anthozoa; Actiniaria; Actiniidae
Source: RefSeq, a predicted model, not a curated record